CGGUGCUGAAGGGCAGGGAACAACUUGAUGGUGCUACUUUGAACUGCUUUUCUUUUCUCCUUUUUGCACAAAGAGUCUCAUGUCUGAUAUUUAGACAUGAUGAGCUUUGUGCAAAAGGGGAGCUGGCUACUUCUUGCUCUACUUCAUCCCACUAUUAUUUUGGCACAACAGGAAGCUGUUGAAGGAGGAUGUUCCCAUCUUGGUCAGUCCUAUGCGGAUAGAGAUGUCUGGAAGCCAGAACCAUGCCAAAUAUGUGUCUGUGACUCAGGAUCCGUUCUCUGCGACGACAUAAUAUGUGACGAUCAAGAAUUAGACUGCCCCAAUCCAGAAAUUCCAUUUGGAGAAUGUUGUGCUGUUUGCCCACAGCCUCCAACUGCUGUGAGUUUAAAGAUAAACUGUACAUCUUCAAUAUUCAUAUUUAGACACAUGAUUAGUUCCUAUAUCAUAGGAGCCUAAAAGGGAAUGAAAGUCAUGUUCAUCAAAUAGCCAUGUUUGCAUUACAAGUAAAAAGUGGACGUUUCAAUUUAAAGAUAAGGAUUGGUUAGAAUCUGGGCUAAUGAAUAAUAUGCAAAUUCUAUGUCUUGUUUAACUUGUUUCUUUUCCAUUUAUUAGCCUACUCGCCCUCCUA
RNAcentral lists this small RNA (628 nucleotides) under Pongo abelii (Sumatran orangutan). Its description in RNAcentral is "retained intron". The record is from RNAcentral. Lineage: Eukaryota; Metazoa; Chordata; Mammalia; Primates; Hominidae.